Molecule: microRNA precursor, 84 nt
Filed under: Tupaia belangeri chinensis (Chinese tree shrew)
Lineage: Eukaryota; Metazoa; Chordata; Mammalia; Scandentia; Tupaiidae
Description: Tupaia chinensis (Chinese tree shrew) mir-491 microRNA precursor family
Rfam family: mir-491 microRNA precursor family
Source: Rfam by way of RNAcentral
UUGACUUAGUUGGGUAGUGGGGAACCCUUCCAUGAGGAGUAGAACACUCCUUAUGCAAGAUUCCCUUCUACCUGACUGGGUUGG